RNAcentral lists this ribosomal RNA (467 nucleotides) under uncultured bacterium. Its description in RNAcentral is "partial 16S ribosomal RNA". It matches the Rfam family "Bacterial small subunit ribosomal RNA", at positions 28 to 506 of the family's 1533-position model. The record is from RNAcentral.
GACGAACGCUGGCGGCGUGCUUAACACAUGCAAGUCGAACGGAAAGGCCCUGCUUUUGUGGGGUGCUCGAGUGGCGAACGGGUGAGUAACACGUGAGUAACCUGCCCUUGACUUUGGGAUAACUUCAGGAAACUGGGGCUAAUACCGGAUAGGAGCUCCUGCUGCAUGGUGGGGGUUGGAAAGUUUCGGCGGUUGGGGAUGGACUCGCGGCUUAUCAGCUUGUUGGUGGGGUAGUGGCUUACCAAGGCUUUGACGGGUAGCCGGCCUGAGAGGGUGACCGGCCACAUUGGGACUGGGAUACGGCCCAGGCGCCUACGGGAGGCAGCAGUGGGGAAUAUUGCACGAUGGGCGGAAGCCUGAUGCAGCAACGCCGCGUGCGGGAUGACGGCCUUCGGGUUGUAAACCGCUUUCGCCUGUGACGAAGCGUGAGUGACGGUAAUGGGGAAAGAAGCACCGGCUAACUACGU